RNAcentral lists this transfer RNA (77 nucleotides) under Pasteurella multocida. RNAcentral's name for it is "tRNA-Asp". It matches the Rfam family "tRNA". From Rfam's summary of the family: Transfer RNA (tRNA) molecules are approximately 80 nucleotides in length. Their secondary structure includes four short double-helical elements and three loops (D, anti-codon, and T loops). RNAcentral also lists the same sequence under 2 other names. The record is from RNAcentral. Lineage: Bacteria; Pseudomonadati; Pseudomonadota; Gammaproteobacteria; Pasteurellales; Pasteurellaceae.
GGAGCGGUAGUUCAGCUGGUUAGAAUACCUGCCUGUCACGCAGGGAGUCGCGGGUUCGAGUCCCGUCCGUUCCGCCA